This 508-nucleotide unclassified non-coding RNA is filed under the name Hevea brasiliensis (rubber tree). Lineage: Eukaryota; Viridiplantae; Streptophyta; Magnoliopsida; Malpighiales; Euphorbiaceae. The record is from RNAcentral.
UGGACUGUUCACUUUUUAAGUAGCACAUGCAGGCCAAUAAUUGCUACACCUUCCAGAUGCAAUGUAUUUGUCUGCCGUUCUCUUCUAACACCCAGUGGAGGAAAUACGAUUCCGGUUCUGAAAUUUGCAUCUGUGAUCUUGACAAGGUACUUUCCAUGUUGCUAUCUGCAUUUUUUUCCACUAUAUUUUAUUAUGCAUACAUUUUUCAAUUCCAGGUACAAAUAUAAAUGUAUACUUAAUAUUUUUAUGCCUAAAGUAAUCUCAACUCAACCUGCACUGGGUGAGAAAUAUAAUUAAAUGUAGCCAUUCUUAAGUGACUCUUAGUUUUUAAGAAUAACCCCUUGGAUGUUGUUACUAAGUUCCUUUGUAGCUGUUAUAAUUUCAAUAAUGAGAGGCUAAGUUUUUCAAGAUGGGUUAUCCUGUAGUUAUUAUCCUUUUUUCUCUUGACGGAUGAUUCUGCUUUAACUUAAGUAUUAUACCCUUUUAAGUGAUAAUAACUUUGCAAUAU